UUAUAGUCAUUAGACUUCGCGCUCAGACGGUAAUCAGGCUUCCUUUCAGAAUAGUUUUCACGGGUGCCGUCGGCAGGCUGACCGCCCCUUCCGCAAACGCGGGGGGACGAGCUGCCGAAGCAACUGGGGUUUUUCACAUUGGGUUUAGGCGGUCGGCCCCCGGGAAAGAAUCCCGGGGACUUCUGCCGUCAGGCCCCGAAGGACCGGUAUUUUUUAAUGAUCCUUCCGCAGGUUCACCUACGGAAA
This 246-nucleotide unclassified non-coding RNA is filed under the name uncultured fungus. RNAcentral's name for it is "sequence contains ITS1". The record is from RNAcentral. Lineage: Eukaryota; Fungi.